RNAcentral lists this ribosomal RNA (253 nucleotides) under uncultured bacterium. RNAcentral describes it as "partial 16S ribosomal RNA". It matches the Rfam family "Bacterial small subunit ribosomal RNA", at positions 524 to 776 of the family's 1533-position model. The record is from RNAcentral.
UACAGAGGUCUCAAGCGUUGUUCGGAAUCACUGGGCGUAAAGGGUGCGUAGGUGGCGUGGUAAGUCAGAUGUGAAAGCCCGGGGCUCAACCCCGGAAUUGCAUCCGAUACUACCGUGCUAGAGUACUGAAGAGGAAACUAGAAUUCUCGGUGUAGCAGUGAAAUGCGUAGAUAUCGAGAGGAAUACCAAAGGCGAAGGCAGGUUUCUUGGCAGUUACUGACACUGAGGCACGAAGGCCAGGGGAGCAAACGGG